This 754-nucleotide ribosomal RNA is filed under the name uncultured Achromobacter sp. RNAcentral describes it as "bacterial SSU rRNA". It matches the Rfam family "Bacterial small subunit ribosomal RNA", at positions 28 to 777 of the family's 1533-position model. The record is from RNAcentral. Lineage: Bacteria; Pseudomonadati; Pseudomonadota; Betaproteobacteria; Burkholderiales; Alcaligenaceae.
AUUGAACGCUAGCGGGAUGCCUUACACAUGCAAGUCGAACGGCAGCACGGACUUCGGUCUGGUGGCGAGUGGCGAACGGGUGAGUAAUGUAUCGGAACGUGCCCAGUAGCGGGGGAUAACUACGCGAAAGCGUAGCUAAUACCGCAUACGCCCUACGGGGGAAAGCAGGGGAUCGCAAGACCUUGCACUAUUGGAGCGGCCGAUAUCGGAUUAGCUAGUUGGUGGGGUAACGGCUCACCAAGGCGACGAUCCGUAGCUGGUUUGAGAGGACGACCAGCCACACUGGGACUGAGACACGGCCCAGACUCCUACGGGAGGCAGCAGUGGGGAAUUUUGGACAAUGGGGGAAACCCUGAUCCAGCCAUCCCGCGUGUGCGAUGAAGGCCUUCGGGUUGUAAAGCACUUUUGGCAGGAAAGAAACGUCGCGGGUUAAUACCCCGCGGAACUGACGGUACCUGCAGAAUAAGCACCGGCUAACUACGUGCCAGCAGCCGCGGUAAUACGUAGGGUGCAAGCGUUAAUCGGAAUUACUGGGCGUAAAGCGUGCGCAGGCGGUCCGGAAAGAAAGAUGUGAAAUCCCAGAGCUUAACUUUGGAACUGCAUUUUUAACUACCGGGCUAGAGUGUGUCAGAGGGAGGUGGAAUUCCGCGUGUAGCAGUGAAAUGCGUAGAUAUGCGGAGGAACACCGAUGGCGAAGGCAGCCUCCUGGGAUAACACUGACGCUCAUGCACGAAAGCGUGGGGAGCAAACAGGA